UAAAUUAUAGUAAAUUUAUUUGAAUUCUUUGACGGAAGUGCGAGGAAGACGGUAAAAAUUAUGCAAAAACAAUAUUGAGGUGAAUUAAAGUGUGGGGUUAAACGUGUUCCUUAAUUCGAUUGCAAUGAUCGCCACCCUGUGUGUAAGAAGAAGGAAGAUCAAAGCGAAGGAAAUGACAGUUUUAAAAAUUAAUUGAAUUGUCUUCAAUAAAAAUUGAAAUUGUGCGUGUUUCAAAUUUACAAAAUUAAAUUGUAUUAUAUUUAUAUAAGCUAUUCACAAAAAGGUAGUGUAAAAUCAUUGUGCGGUCAAGUGUGCGCGUUUUAAGCAUAAAUUUAUGUUCGUUUAUGUUCGUAUAUACAUAUACCGAUGUGCCUGAGCAACAGAAGCUGUUGGUUCGCAUGGAAAGUUCUGGUGGAAAAGUUGCUAUCGUUGUUAUAUAUGUACUAACAACUAUAUAUGCAACUGUAAAAUUGCAACCAAGUAUAUUUUAAACCAAUAUCGACAGAUUUAAUAAAGCAUCAAAAAGCAAAAUAUUAAAAAAGGCUUUACAGACAAGUGUGCGCGUUUUACGUUUAAUUUUAUGUAACUAAGUAUGUGCGUUUUGUGCUGAUAGAAAUGCUGCUGUGCUUUGGCUAACUUGCAAAGUGAUGGAGGUUUCAAUAUGGAAAUAAUUGUUGCUCUUGUGAAAGAUAUAAGUGUUUCAAAAGCGUUUGCUUCAAAAAUCGGCUAUUCAUUCAAAGGUUACACAAUUAUAUAUCACUUUAAUCAAGUCGCUAUUAAAAUCAUUCAUACAUUCAUCAAACUCUAUAUAAAA
Molecule: long non-coding RNA, 814 nt
Organism: Bactrocera neohumeralis
Lineage: Eukaryota; Metazoa; Arthropoda; Insecta; Diptera; Tephritidae
Exons: 3
Source: RefSeq, a predicted model, not a curated record